GCUGAAAGCGCUGCUUCAUGAACAACACCUAGCAGGUGCCCGCUUCGAGCAUCCUAAAGAGGGAAGACGUCUAAAAUAUCUGUUCCCGUUUGAGGAUAAUUGACAGGAUGUGGAAAGGAGAGAACUGCUCUGAAGCUGCUGAAAGCUGCAGAGCUGCCUCCAGUUCAAGGGGAGUGAAGCCCUUUCCUGAAGAGGAGCUGCUGCUGCUGUUUCAGACAGGGAUGGGUGCUGGGCCUGUGUGUGUCUCACUGCACAGCCACUGUCUGCUCUGGGCUUUGCUCUGCAGGAUCCUCUGUCCUGCUGAAGCACCAGGCAGCUUGGACCCACAGUGCCACUGCAGUCCCUGGCUCACAGCAGUGAGUCCUCACCAUCCCUCUAAAUCCACUGGCCCCCAGCACCAGCACAGUGCCCAAAGGAGCCUGCUCUCAGCCUUCAGCCCUGUUCAGCAUUUCCAACAUCUUCUAUUUGCAGUGAGCAAGAAAGCCUCAUGGAUCAAAAGGAGCUUUGCCAGGGAAAAUUUCUUUUACUGUUAUGAUAAAAGGAUGUCUUGUCUCCAUGAAGAGAUUACUUAUACAGGUCAGCUUUUGCAGGCAGGAGGAAAGUCCCUGGCUCGAGGAGAUUACAAGUAGGAUAAUGCAGCAGUGAAGCCAGAUAGCUGGCAAUGGAUGACAGUGACAUUCAAAGAAAACAGAUGCCACAAAGCCUGGAUCAUCAGAGGGUAUGUACAUCUGAGAUCAACAUUUGCAAAGUGCUGCUGGAAAAGAAGAGCCAGCAGAUUUGCAUCAGCAGCAUCAAUUCUCAUCUAUUCUUUCCUGUCUGACCGUCUGAUAAGAUAGAAUCACUCACUCACUGGUAUUUGUCCCCUUCCAGGGUUGUUCCUCCUGGAGCUGGCCGUGGCUCAGCUCCCACACACAAAGGUUGGCAGCACAGCUGCUCCAGGCACCUUCUGUACCCAGAGGAGGGACAAGUUCAAAUGCCCUGAGGACAAGUUCCACUUACAGCCUCCAAGCCUGUUUGGCUCAAGCCUCAUGCCAACUCCAGGAAAGAGCCAGGAAGCAGGCUGGAAUACUCCUGAGACAGGCAUGUGACACUGCACUCAGCUGAUCAGAGCUGGGGGUGUCCCUCCCCUCCAUCGCAGACCUCUCCAUUCUGCUCAGGUGUCUGCAGCUGGCACACACAGCACAAGAUGCUGCUGCUGCUGCUUCCCUCGCUCCAGCAGCCACCCACAGCAAUGCUCCCCUGGUGCAUCCCCCACCACCCAGCCUGAGUUCUGCAUUUCCUAUGGUGGAAGUCAGCCCUGUAAAGUGAUGUUGCUUAUGGCCACAAAUUGGAACAAACAAUUCCAUGAACUCCUGUGCGCGGAGAAGCAGGACAAUGAGACAGCGACUUGAGGGUGCAGGGUUUAAAACAGAAAAUCGUGUCACAAUCCUCAUGGAGAAAGAGCCUCUUCUCCCAUAGCACUGAUCAAAUCAGCUGCCUCUGAGGAGCCACCUCAAAAGGAGAGGGGCCAGCAACAAGCAGCCAGGGGUUCAAACGCUGCCUGUUGGGUUUCUGCUGUCCCAGAGCAGUUCUGCCAGUAGGGCACAGAGCUGGUUCCAGUGGAGGCGUUCACUGGGCAUUACAGCAUGAUGCCAGGAUGAUGCCCUGCAUGGCAGGAAUUAAUACAAGGUUUUCCUUAAUGACUGUAUCCAGGGCAACUUAAGCUUCUCUAAGAUAAAUUUCCCCCUGUCCCUUCCAGUCUCUAAUAAAAUAUUUCUCUGGUUUGCA
Long non-coding RNA from Lonchura striata (white-rumped munia), 1767 nucleotides. Lineage: Eukaryota; Metazoa; Chordata; Aves; Passeriformes; Estrildidae. The record is from Ensembl.